GGUUCGAUGGUGUAGUUGGUUAUCACUUCUGUCUAACAUGAAGCCCGUCUCUGGUCACGUGAUUAAGCGCGGUAACGUGGAACACAGGCGGUCCUCAGUUCGAACCUGGGUCGAAUCA
Molecule: non-coding RNA, 118 nt
Organism: Mycena galopus ATCC 62051
Lineage: Eukaryota; Fungi; Basidiomycota; Agaricomycetes; Agaricales; Mycenaceae
Source: the annotation of a GenBank genome assembly